GGUUAAGCGACUAAGCGUACACGGUGGAUGCCCUGGCAGUCAGAGGCGAUGAAGGACGUGCUAAUCUGCGAUAAGCGUCGGUAAGGUGAUAUGAACCGUUAUAACCGGCGAUUUCCGAAUGGGGAAACCCAGUGUGAUUCGUCACACUAUCAUUAACUGAAUCCAUAGGUUAAUGAGGCGAACCGGGGGAACUGAAACAUCUAAGUACCCCGAGGAAAAGAAAUCAACCGAGAUUCCCCCAGUAGCGGCGAGCGAACGGGGAGCAGCCCAGAGCCUGAAUCAGUGUGUGUGUUAGUGGAAGCGUCUGGAAAGGCGCGCGAUACAGGGUGACAGCCCCGUACACAAAAAUGCACAUGCUGUGAGCUCGAUGAGUAGGGCGGGACACGUGGUAUCCUGUCUGAAUAUGGGGGGACCAUCCUCCAAGGCUAAAUACUCCUGACUGACCGAUAGUGAACCAGUACCGUGAGGGAAAGGCGAAAAGAACCCCGGCGAGGGGAGUGAAAAAGAACCUGAAACCGUGUACGUACAAGCAGUGGGAGCCUCUUAAUGGGGUGACUGCGUACCUUUUGUAUAAUGGGUCAGCGACUUAUAUUCUGUAGCAAGGUUAACCGAAUAGGGGAGCCGAAGGGAAACCGAGUCUUAACUGGGCGUUAAGUUGCAGGGUAUAGACCCGAAACCCGGUGAUCUAGCCAUGGGCAGGUUGAAGGUUGGGUAACACUAACUGGAGGACCGAACCGACUAAUGUUGAAAAAUUAGCGGAUGACUUGUGGCUGGGGGUGAAAGGCCAAUCAAACCGGGAGAUAGCUGGUUCUCCCCGAAAGCUAUUUAGGUAGCGCCUCGUGAAUUCAUCUCCGGGGGUAGAGCACUGUUUCGGCAAGGGGGUCAUCCCGACUUACCAACCCGAUGCAAACUGCGAAUACCGGAGAAUGUUAUCACGGGAGACACACGGCGGGUGCUAACGUCCGUCGUGAAGAGGGAAACAACCCAGACCGCCAGCUAAGGUCCCAAAGUCAUGGUUAAGUGGGAAACGAUGUGGGAAGGCCCAGACAGCCAGGAUGUUGGCUUAGAAGCAGCCAUCAUUUAAAGAAAGCGUAAUAGCUCACUGGUCGAGUCGGCCUGCGCGGAAGAUGUAACGGGGCUAAACCAUGCACCGAAGCUGCGGCAGCGACACUAUGUGUUGUUGGGUAGGGGAGCGUUCUGUAAGCCUGCGAAGGUGUACUGUGAGGUAUGCUGGAGGUAUCAGAAGUGCGAAUGCUGACAUAAGUAACGAUAAAGCGGGUGAAAAGCCCGCUCGCCGGAAGACCAAGGGUUCCUGUCCAACGUUAAUCGGGGCAGGGUGAGUCGACCCCUAAGGCGAGGCCGAAAGGCGUAGUCGAUGGGAAACAGGUUAAUAUUCCUGUACUUGGUGUUACUGCGAAGGGGGGACGGAGAAGGCUAUGUUGGCCGGGCGACGGUUGUCCCGGUUUAAGCGUGUAGGCUGGUUUUCCAGGCAAAUCCGGAAAAUCAAGGCUGAGGCGUGAUGACGAGGCACUACGGUGCUGAAGCAACAAAUGCCCUGCUUCCAGGAAAAGCCUCUAAGCAUCAGGUAACAUCAAAUCGUACCCCAAACCGACACAGGUGGUCAGGUAGAGAAUACCAAGGCGCUUGAGAGAACUCGGGUGAAGGAACUAGGCAAAAUGGUGCCGUAACUUCGGGAGAAGGCACGCUGAUACGUAGGUGAAGCGACUUGCUCGUGGAGCUGAAAUCAGUCGAAGAUACCAGCUGGCUGCAACUGUUUAUUAAAAACACAGCACUGUGCAAACACGAAAGUGGACGUAUACGGUGUGACGCCUGCCCGGUGCCGGAAGGUUAAUUGAUGGGGUUAGCGGUAACGCGAAGCUCUUGAUCGAAGCCCCGGUAAACGGCGGCCGUAACUAUAACGGUCCUAAGGUAGCGAAAUUCCUUGUCGGGUAAGUUCCGACCUGCACGAAUGGCGUAAUGAUGGCCAGGCUGUCUCCACCCGAGACUCAGUGAAAUUGAACUCGCUGUGAAGAUGCAGUGUACCCGCGGCAAGACGGAAAGACCCCGUGAACCUUUACUAUAGCUUGACACUGAACAUUGAGCCUUGAUGUGUAGGAUAGGUGGGAGGCUUUGAAGUGUGGACGCCAGUCUGCAUGGAGCCGACCUUGAAAUACCACCCUUUAAUGUUUGAUGUUCUAACGUUGGCCCCUGAUCGGGGUUGCGGACAGUGUCUGGUGGGUAGUUUGACUGGGGCGGUCUCCUCCUAAAGAGUAACGGAGGAGCACGAAGGUUGGCUAAUCCUGGUCGGACAUCAGGAGGUUAGUGCAAUGGCAUAAGCCAGCUUGACUGCGAGCGUGACGGCGCGAGCAGGUGCGAAAGCAGGUCAUAGUGAUCCGGUGGUUCUGAAUGGAAGGGCCAUCGCUCAACGGAUAAAAGGUACUCCGGGGAUAACAGGCUGAUACCGCCCAAGAGUUCAUAUCGACGGCGGUGUUUGGCACCUCGAUGUCGGCUCAUCACAUCCUGGGGCUGAAGUAGGUCCCAAGGGUAUGGCUGUUCGCCAUUUAAAGUGGUACGCGAGCUGGGUUUAGAACGUCGUGAGACAGUUCGGUCCCUAUCUGCCGUGGGCGCUGGAGAACUGAGGGGGGCUGCUCCUAGUACGAGAGGACCGGAGUGGACGCAUCACUGGUGUUCGGGUUGUCAUGCCAAUGGCACUGCCCGGUAGCUAAAUGCGGAAGAGAUAAGUGCUGAAAGCAUCUAAGCACGAAACUUGCCCCGAGAUGAGUUCUCCCUGACUCCCUGAGAGUCCUGAAGGAACGUUGAAGACGACGACGUUGAUAGGCCGGGUGUGUAAGCGCAGCGAUGCGUUGAGCUAACCGGUACUAAUGAACCGUGAGGCUUAACCUU
RNAcentral lists this ribosomal RNA (2904 nucleotides) under Escherichia coli. RNAcentral's name for it is "23S ribosomal RNA". It matches the Rfam family "Bacterial large subunit ribosomal RNA". The record is from RNAcentral. Lineage: Bacteria; Pseudomonadati; Pseudomonadota; Gammaproteobacteria; Enterobacterales; Enterobacteriaceae.